ACCUACGGGGCGCAGCAGUGAGGAAUAUUGGUCAAUGGGAGAGAUCCUGAACCAGCCAAGCCGCGUGAGGGAAGACGGCCCUAUGGGUUGUAAACCUCUUUUGUCGGAGAACAAACGGCGGCACGCGUGCCGUCCUGAGGGUACCCGGAGAAAAAGCAUCGGCUAACUCCGUGCCAGCAGCCGCGGUAAUACGGGGGAUGCGAGCGUUAUCCGGAUUUAUUGGGUUUAAAGGGCGCGUAGGCGGGAUGCCAAGUCAGCGGUCAAAUACGGGGGCUCAACCUGCGUCCGCCGUUGAAACUGGCGUU
Molecule: ribosomal RNA, 305 nt
Filed under: uncultured bacterium
Lineage: Bacteria
Description: bacterial SSU rRNA
Rfam family: Bacterial small subunit ribosomal RNA
Source: RNAcentral